Molecule: ribosomal RNA, 253 nt
Filed under: uncultured bacterium
Lineage: Bacteria
Description: partial 16S ribosomal RNA
Rfam family: Bacterial small subunit ribosomal RNA
Source: RNAcentral
UACGGAGGGAGCUAGCGUUUGUUCGGAAUUACUGGGCGUAAAGCGCACGUAGGCGGCUUUUUAAGUCAGGGGUGAAAUCCCGGGGCUCAACCCCGGAACUGCCCUUGAAACUGGAGAGCUAGAAUCUUGGAGAGGCGAGUGGAAUUCCGAGUGUAGAGGUGAAAUUCGUAGAUAUUCGGAAGAACACCAGUGGCGAGGCGACUCGCUGGACAAGUAUUGACGCUGAGGUGCGAAAGCGUGGGGAGCAAACAGG